GUCGAAGUGUGGAACUGGUUGGGGCUUGCCUCCUCAUAUACCCGGCGGAACAGAGUGCCAGGUGCUGCCGGGUUGUGGACACCUGGCGAGGGCUUCCCACCAGGCCAUGUUAUGUUCCUCUGGCCUUCCCUCACUAUGGUGCACCUGCCGCGGCGAGAUUUUCGAGGUCAAGAGAGCUGAUCCAUCUUGUGCCUGAAGUGGCGGGCUUCCUCCAGACCUUGCAGGUAACAUCAGUGCAUUCCGUGUGUGGAGUAUCUAAAGGAGGCAGAGACGAGGAGUGUUGCUUCCCCCAUCAGCACAGUCCAGGCCGUUGUCUUGAAGAGGUCCAGGUCGUGGGUCGUGGCGAGGGUGCCAGUCCUGCUGCCGCCACCACUACGGUACAGGGUCCCCUGCACACACACAGGACAUUGGGAAGCAGAAGCAGAAUAUGUGUCCACAUAUUCAAAUAUUCUUUCAAGAUCUGACUGUACAAUUGACUGAGGCGAAGAUAAUGUAUUAGUGUAAUAUUGCUCUGUGAAAAAUUUCCCGAAUUGAUAGAUGGUGUGUGGGAAGUGUGAUACUUCAACCUCGUCACCAUUCUCUCUCUCUCUCUCUCUCUCUCUCUCUCUCUCUCUCUCUCUCUCUCUCUCUCUCUCUCUCUCUCUCUCUCUC
Portunus trituberculatus (swimming crab) is the source of this 651-nucleotide long non-coding RNA. RefSeq lists it as uncharacterized. NCBI's taxonomy places the organism in Eukaryota, Metazoa, Arthropoda, Malacostraca, Decapoda, Portunidae. The record is from RefSeq and is a predicted model, not a curated record. The transcript has 2 exons.